AUUCUAUUCAUUCAACACAUACAACACCUCUGGCAAGAGUGACAGACAUUAGGUUCCCACACCUAUCGGAUCUCUUUAAAGGACUGGACAGACAUUAGGUUGCCACACGUAUUGGAUCUCUUUAAAGGACUGGACAGACAUUAGGUUGCCACACGUAUUGGAUCUCUUUAAAGGACUGGACAGACAUUAGGUUGCCACACGUAUUGGAUCUCUUUAAAGGACUGGACAGACAUUAGGUUGCCACACCUAUUGGAUCUCUUUAAAGGACUGGACAGACAUUAGGUUCCAACACCUAUUGGAUCUCUUUAAAGGACUGGACAGACAUUAGGUUGCCACACCUAUUGGAUCUCUUUAAAGGACUGGACAGACAUUAGGUUGCCACACCUAUUGGAUCUCUUUAAAGGACUGGACAGACAUAAGGUUGCCACACCUAUUGGAUCUCUUUAAAGGACUGGACAGACAUUAGGUUGCCACACGUAUUGGAUCUCUUUAAAGGACUGGACAGACAUUAGGUUGCCACACCUAUUGGAUCUCUUUAAAGGACUGGACAGACAUUAGGUUCCAACACCUAUUGGAUCUCUUUAAAGGACUGGACAGACAUUAGGUUGCCACACCUAUUGGAUCUCUUUAAAGGACUGGACAGACAUUAGGUUGCCACACGUAUUGGAUCUCUUUAAAGGACUGGACAGACAUUAGGUUGCCACACCUAUUGGAUCUCUUUAAAGGACUGGACAGACAUUAGGUUGCCACACCUAUUGGAUCUCUUUAAAGGACUGGACAGACAUUAGGUUCCCACACCUAUCGGAUCUCUUUAAAGGACUGGACAGACAUUAGGUUGCCACACGUAUUGG
Long non-coding RNA from Dreissena polymorpha, 851 nucleotides. RefSeq lists it as uncharacterized. Lineage: Eukaryota; Metazoa; Mollusca; Bivalvia; Myida; Dreissenidae. The record is from RefSeq and is a predicted model, not a curated record. The transcript is spliced from 8 exons.